AUUCUGAAAAGUUCAAAUAUAUGUAUGGAACUAUUAAAAUUUUCUAAAAAUUAUUUUUCUUAUACUGACAGAUAGCCUAUUGGAAAGUGAUUUAAAUUUGCAGAGCAAUCCGGAUUGUAAUCUUGAUAAAUAUAUGUCGAAAUAAUAAUUAAGUGAUGGACAUAACUAUACAAAGAAUAAUGAAAUUCUGGUUACAUCCAAAUAUUAUAUUUAACAAUUCAUCUAAGGGAAAACGUCUACAAGAAUAUCUUUCCCACAUAAUUAAAAUAAC
RNAcentral lists this long non-coding RNA (271 nucleotides) under Polistes fuscatus (common paper wasp). RNAcentral's name for it is "uncharacterized LOC122522206". The record is from RNAcentral. Lineage: Eukaryota; Metazoa; Arthropoda; Insecta; Hymenoptera; Vespidae.